RNAcentral lists this small nuclear RNA (107 nucleotides) under Gorilla gorilla gorilla (western lowland gorilla). Lineage: Eukaryota; Metazoa; Chordata; Mammalia; Primates; Hominidae. The record is from RNAcentral.
GUGCACGCUUCGGUAGCACAUAUACUAAAAUUGGAAAGAUACAGAGAAGAUUAGCAUGGCCCCUGCACAAAGAUGACAUGCAAAUUUGUGUUCCGUUCCAUAUUCGC